UGCCCCCUGAUAAAUAUUAAAGGGCUGCAGUAUUUUGACUGUACAAAGGUAGCAUAAUCAUUAGUCAUUUAAUUGGUGACUUGUAUGAAUGAUUGGAUGAAAUAUAAACUGUUUCUUUAAUAAAUUAUAGAAAUUAAUUUUUUUGUUAAAAAGUAAAAAUAAAUUAAAAAGACGAGAAGACCCUAUAGAGUUUUAUUAUUAUUUUAAUUUGAAUUAUUUAUAAAUUUAAAAAUUUAAAUUAAAAUAAUAAUUUUGUUGGGGUGAUAUGAAAAUUAAAAAAACUUUUUAUAUUAAUAAACAUAAAUAAAUGAUUUAAAUGAUCUAUUAUUAAUAAUUGAAAGAAUAAAUUACCUUAGGGAUAACAGCGUAAUUUUUUUUUUUAGUUCAAAUAAAAAAAAAAGUUUGCGACCUCGAUGUUGGAUUAAGAUAAAAUUUAAAUGCAGAAGUUUAAAAUUUUGA
This 459-nucleotide ribosomal RNA is filed under the name Eloria torrida. RNAcentral's name for it is "partial large subunit ribosomal RNA". The record is from RNAcentral. Lineage: Eukaryota; Metazoa; Arthropoda; Insecta; Lepidoptera; Erebidae.